AUCCAACUGACGAGUCCCAAGUAGGACGCAAAACGCAUCCUGGAU
This 45-nucleotide non-coding RNA is filed under the name Schistosoma mansoni. Lineage: Eukaryota; Metazoa; Platyhelminthes; Trematoda; Strigeidida; Schistosomatidae. The record is from RNAcentral.